CAUUGGUGAGAAUCCAAUGCCCCGAAAAGCUAAGGGUUCCUCCGCAAGGUUCAUCCACGGAAGGUGAGUCAGGGCCUACGAUCAGGCCAAAAGGCGUAGUCGAUGGACAACAGGUGAAUAUUCUUGUACUACCCUUGUUAGUCCCGGACGGAGGAGGCUAGGUUAGCCGAAAGAUGGUUAUCGGUUCAAGAACGUAAGGUAUCCCUGCUUUUUUCAGGGGUAAGAAGGGGGUAGAGAAAAUGCCUCGAGCCAAUGUUCGAAUAUCGGUUCGAGCUUUUCCUGGGCCUUUCUGAAACAUAUAAAAUGCAUGAAGUAGUCAGAUG
Molecule: non-coding RNA, 323 nt
Filed under: Solanum tuberosum (potato)
Lineage: Eukaryota; Viridiplantae; Streptophyta; Magnoliopsida; Solanales; Solanaceae
Description: Bacterial large subunit ribosomal RNA
Rfam family: Bacterial large subunit ribosomal RNA
Source: Rfam by way of RNAcentral